UACGGAGGGUGCAAGCGUUAUCCGGAUUCACUGGGUUUAAAGGGUGCGUAGGUGGCUUUGUAAGUCAGUGGUGAAAUCUCGGAGCUUAACUCCGAAACUGCCAUUGAUACUGCUUAGCUUGAAUCAGGUAGAGGUGGAUGGAAUAUUACAUGUAGCGGUGAAAUGCGUAGAUAUGUAAUAGAACACCGAUUGCGAAGGCAGUUCACUAGGCCGGCAUUGACACUGAGGCACGAAAGCGUGGGGAGCAAACAGG
Molecule: ribosomal RNA, 253 nt
Filed under: uncultured bacterium
Lineage: Bacteria
Description: partial 16S ribosomal RNA
Rfam family: Bacterial small subunit ribosomal RNA
Source: RNAcentral